This is a long non-coding RNA of Tachysurus vachellii, 557 nucleotides long. RefSeq lists it as uncharacterized. The transcript is spliced from 3 exons. NCBI's taxonomy places the organism in Eukaryota, Metazoa, Chordata, Actinopteri, Siluriformes, Bagridae. The record is from RefSeq and is a predicted model, not a curated record.
AGUUGCAGAUUUUGGAGUAACGGAUCAUCCAGACUUAACUUCGAAACAGUGAGUGUGCAUGCCAACAUUAUUGGGAUUGUUUGUGAUUCUGUUCUAUGUAUAUGUACAUGUCAUUCUGUUAUAUUUAUUUACUUCAUUUACUUGGUUUGUUGGACAGUCCAUGAUGAAGAAGGCCGUGCUUUUGUGUUUUGUCCUGUUUGCGGUCAUUUCUGUGACCACCGCUGCUCAAUGCCUGCAACAGCAAGCAGGUUUCCUGAAUUGUUAUGAUAGGAUUGAUUUUAAAACGUACGGUGUUGGACAGGCCUGGGUGAACAGCAGAUGUCAGUUUUGCACAUGUAUGCCUGCAGCUAUGAGAUGCUGUAUGGGAAAACGAGAUGCAGCUGGAAAGUGCAAACUUGAAUAGCAGCACCGCUGGAAAAGAAAUCCAUAUAUUUACAAUGACGGAUUUGAGUCUCCAUGUUGUUCAACUGUGAUUAAUCAAAUGAUGAGACUCAUUUUAUACAAUGUCAUGAAACAAAUAUGAUUGACAAUAAAGCAACAAUGCAUUAUGCAAAUUA